CCUACGGGUGGCAGCAGUGAGGAAUAUUGGUCAAUGGCCGGAAGGCUGAACCAGCCAUGCCGCGUGAAGGUCAGUGCCCUAUGGGCGUUAAACUUCUUUUGUGCGGGAGCAAUAAUGGUCACGUGUGGCCAGACGAGAGUACCGUACGAAGAAACAUCGGCUAACUCCGUGCCAGCAGCCGCGGUAAUAAGGGGGAUGCAAGCGUUAUCCGGAUUUAUUGGGGUUAAAGGGGGAGUAGGCUGUGAGGUAAGUCAGCGGUGAAAUGCCCCCGCUCAACGGGGUGAAGUGCCAUUGAUACUGCCUUGCUGGAAUGCGGAUGCCGUGGGAGGAAUGUGUGGUGUAGCGGUGAAAUGCAUAGAUAUCACACAGAACACCGAUUGCGAAGGCAUCUCACGAAUCCGCGAUUGACGCUGAUGCACGAAAGUGUGGGUAUCAAACAGGAUUAGAUACCCUGGUAGUC
This 460-nucleotide ribosomal RNA is filed under the name uncultured bacterium. RNAcentral describes it as "partial 16S ribosomal RNA". It matches the Rfam family "Bacterial small subunit ribosomal RNA", at positions 338 to 795 of the family's 1533-position model. The record is from RNAcentral.